UAUUGCUAAUUGAAAACUUUUCCCAAUACCCCGCCAUGACGACUUGAAAUAUAGUCGGCAUUGGCAAUUUUUGACAGUCUCUACGGAGA
This 89-nucleotide small nuclear RNA is filed under the name Zonotrichia albicollis (white-throated sparrow). Its description in RNAcentral is "U4 spliceosomal RNA". It matches the Rfam family "U4 spliceosomal RNA", at positions 53 to 138 of the family's 138-position model. From Rfam's summary of the family: U4 small nuclear RNA (U4 snRNA) is a component of the major U2-dependent spliceosome. Lineage: Eukaryota; Metazoa; Chordata; Aves; Passeriformes; Passerellidae. RNAcentral also lists the same sequence under 1 other name. The record is from Rfam by way of RNAcentral.